This is a long non-coding RNA of Homo sapiens (human), 2158 nucleotides long. The record is from Ensembl. Lineage: Eukaryota; Metazoa; Chordata; Mammalia; Primates; Hominidae.
AGAGGGAGAAAGGUACAAGAGAGAGAAGGGAAGAGAGAGAGGGAGAUAGAGCGAAAAAGGAGGGUCCCCGACUUCCUCACAGGUAAUUAAAAGGACUGUUUUCAAGGUUGCAUGGGCAAAGACAAUUCGGCCCUAAUGAAGCAUCGAUCGACUGCAGUAAUGUAGAAAGGAGCUGACAUUCAUUCAAAGACCUCGGAAUGGGAAGGACUGAGUUUCAUCUUCAGCCCGUUGGUGGUCAUAUUUUCCUGCGGUGGCUGACACACUCAGGAGGCGUGGGAUAGAAGGUGACAGCUUCUGCUACUCGGUGUCCCUGCAGUUGCCAGCCUCCCAGGGACUCUGCUCACCUAGGAAGAAGAUGGAGAACAAUGGUCACUGUCAUCCCCAGAAGAGCUCCUCAUCUCCCUUAGUUGGGACAUCCUGCCAGUGCUUUCUCUACCAGGAUAACACCAGCCCUCUUCAACUGCAUUUUUCUCUACACACAACAUUCUCGUUUGCCAAGGUCAUUCCAUGGAACCAAUGUCCAGCGUCUUCUCUUUCCUUAGAUCCCACAGUCCAUACUCAACCUCCAUGUGAAGACAGAGAAUAUCCUUUUGAGUUGGAAGGGAUGUUGACUGACUUCAUCCAUUUAUUUUGUUCUCAUUCCGAGUCUGGAUUUGCCUGCGUCCCUUGUAGCUUAAGAGCCCUUUUAAUUAAGACAUGACUCACAGAUCAUCUUCAUGUCAACAGGCAACAAUAUUGUAUACCUUCGAAUUUUUCAAUAACGAGCCUUGAACAGAACAAACUCUUUGUUUCAGUGAAAAAUGCUAAUUGAAAGAUUUUUUUUUCUCAAAAGGACAUUGAACGUAAACCAAUGUACUAAGCAAAAUGUAGAUGAUGCCUCUCCUUUUAUCUGCUGUUCCUUCAAACAGAAAACAAAGUACCACCCCAACCAACCAACUCUUCUGGCAGGAAAAAGAAAGAGUCCUCAAAUUACGUUCUUCAACAAAGGGUCAGGAAGGAAAAGUGAAUGUCACAAACACCAUUCAAAGCACCGCAGAAAGUAGUCAGUUUGGUUUCUUUCAGAGGCUGGAAGAAAACGUCCUUCUCCCCCGUCUCCCUUUGUUUUUAAGUUACUAAAUUCCUUUACGUUUGUUUUCUUAGGAAAGUGACAUUAUAGGUCAUUAAGCAACUAUUAAAAACACAAGUGAGAAAACCCAAAGCGUGGGUCUUUUUCCUCUGAUAUUCUUUUCCCUGGUUUUCAGAAAACAGUUUUAAGAGUUGGAAUAUUUUUGUUAAUGUCUUUGUGGGCAUUUCCGUCAUCUUUCCAUUUGUAACAGCCCCUAAAUAAGGCAGCUAGGGGAAACCUGCCUUGUCUUAGCACACCUGCUAUGCCAAAACAGGAACAUGCAUUCCCCCACAAUGGGAUGGGUGAUUUGCCAAACAGACCAGAGCUCCCAAAUUACCUGCCUUUUUGCAGUGCUACACCCAAAAAUCAACCCGUUGACUGAUGAAAUCAACCCGUGUGGAACUUGAUUUUCGACGUCCUCUCUUCCUCCCACAGUUGGACAAGAAAGGGGAAGGAAAGAGAAAAGGGAGAAAAGCCCUCUUCCCACCGGGUAAGUCCAGGUGAGUCCCAUUCACCACCGUCAUUGCCAUUGUGCGAGGCUGCAGCAUGGAGCUGGCCCCCCUCUAGCCACAGGAUCGAGCUGGCUUCAGAGCUUCCGGGGUCUCAUCCUCUUGCAAAUUUCUUUGGUGGUGAAAUCUAUCAAAGGAAUCUCAAAACAGAUUACAUGGUAAAUUAUCGUCUCCAUUCUGGGCCACUCUCCAUGCCCCGCUGUCCGGCUCCGACAGACAGCCGUGGGUGAGCUGCCGGUGGAAAGCCUCCGAGAUAAGAAGAUUACAGAAUGUCAUGUGCCUCCGGCGACUCAACUUCACAGCUAAACUUCUCCAGCCCAGGCAGUUCAUCUGAUUCGCAUGGGUCACAGGCUGUUUCAAUUAAUGCCUCUCUAAUGAUUCAAGUGUGUGCCCUAAUGUGGAAGGGGAAUAGAGAGAAGUCAAGCCAGGGACCUUAGCAUGUCUGUCCUCUCCACCCUCUAUCUCAGAAUGCUCUUUCCCAAGCUGACUUAUAAGAAAGGAGAAAAUGGGAUGGGAAGGAAUAUAGAAUUCCUUUCAGACAGAA